Molecule: ribosomal RNA, 83 nt
Filed under: Finegoldia magna
Lineage: Bacteria; Bacillati; Bacillota; Tissierellia; Tissierellales; Peptoniphilaceae
Description: partial 16S ribosomal RNA
Rfam family: Bacterial small subunit ribosomal RNA
Source: RNAcentral
AAGGUAGGAUUGAUGACUGGGGUGAAGUCGUAACAAGGUAGCCGUAUCGGAAGGUGCGGCUGGAUCACCUCCUUUCUAAGGAG